UUAUUAUUAUGUUGAAUAAAUUGUUUUUGUGGUACUAGUGACAAAGAUUUUGAAGCUUUAGUGAACAAAUAUUCAGAUUGAAGACAACUGUAAGAAGAAAGUUCCAGGUUUUGAGUUUAAAAUUGUGCGUCUGGACUGUAUGUGAACAAGAGCUAACAUAAUUAAGUUGGGGAAAAAUAACCGAGGCUGAAACACUUGUGCAAUUGAGCAGGUAAUAUGAUAGAUUAAUUAGUUUUUGUAGAACAUUUAGUGUAUUAUAUCCUUUUGAUUUUGUUUUUGUUUUUUAGUUAUAUUAUAAAUAUUUUUUAGGAAGAAGUGAAGGUUUAAAGAGUCGACCCAAUUGGUAUACAAAGAUGAUACCUAUAAUUAUAUACCGAUGAUAGAAGAUUUUGAGAUUAUAUUUGCAGCAAAUGAUGGUUAGUUGUUGAAAUAUAAUGGUUUGGUUAUUCGUAUUCCUUUUAUUUUAGAAAUAUUUGUUGUUUAUUGUGCAAUAAUUUUAAGUUAAAUUUCAUAUUUAAUUUCUAGUUCUGCAACACCUGAUACAUGUAAAGAUGAUCGAAGAUGAGAGUGAGAAUUUGAGCAACCUGUGUGUGUGGUGAAGGUAUGCUACUUUAAUAAUUUACUAAUUUUAAGUCAUACAUUUUGUUACAAUUCUUCUCUAAUCUUUAUGAUAAAUCUAAUAUUCUGAUUAUUCUUUUAUACUCAUUCUACUCAAUGCAUCUUGUUUUACCACCCUAUGUUUUGCAUACAAAGUUAUGAUCUAUCAGAUAUUGUCAUAAGUUUCUCAUUUUGUCUCUUUUCUCUUCUCUGUCCUUUGUUCUUUGUUACAUUGCAUUAAUUUUUUCUUUUGGUUUACCUAAUCCAGGAGAUGUUAAUGGAGAUGAGGCAUUAGUGACAGUGGUUAUAUAAACAAGUUGGAGACAGUACUUUCGCUUGAGGGAGUUGGAUGACAGAUAAAAAGGAACAACUUUUCAAGAGUGCAAGCUAAUAUUUCAUACUGCCAUCGAGCACAAAACUCAAUCGGAAGGAUCUGUUAGAGAUACCAUGUCAACAUUGCAGUUAAAGGAUUGAUUUUUUUUGUUUUUAUUGUGACUAUAUUGCAAACGGUUAGAAGAUUGUAAAUGGAUGUUCUGGUUGGAUGUUGUAUUAUGAUUUUUAUCACACAUGCAAAGCUAUAUAUAAGAUCAUUUGCUUGAUUUAA
Non-coding RNA from Erythranthe guttata (spotted monkey flower), 1201 nucleotides. Lineage: Eukaryota; Viridiplantae; Streptophyta; Magnoliopsida; Lamiales; Phrymaceae. The record is from RefSeq and is a predicted model, not a curated record.